AGGGUUCGAUUCUGGCUCAGGACGAACGCUGGCGGCGUGCUUAACACAUGCAAGUCGAGCGAUGAAGCUUCUUCGGAAGUGGAUUAGCGGCGGACGGGUGAGUAACACGUGGGUAACCUGCCUCAUAGAGGGGAAUAGCCUUCCGAAAGGAAGAUUAAUACCGCAUAAGAUUGUAAUAUCGCAUGAUAUAGCAAUUAAAGGAGUAAUCCGCUAUGAGAUGGACCCGCGUCGCAUUAGCUAGUUGGUGAGGUAACGGCUCACCAAGGCGACGAUGCGUAGCCGACCUGAGAGGGUGAUCGGCCACAUUGGGACUGAGACACGGCCCAGACUCCUACGGGAGGCAGCAGUGGGGAAUAUUGCACAAUGGGGGAAACCCUGAUGCAGCCAACGCCGCGUGAGUGAUGACGGUCUUCGGAUUGUAAAGCUCUGUCUUCAGGGACGAUAAUGACGGUACCUGAGGAGGAAGCCACGGCUAACUACGUGCCAGCAGCGGC
RNAcentral lists this ribosomal RNA (494 nucleotides) under uncultured bacterium. Its description in RNAcentral is "bacterial SSU rRNA". It matches the Rfam family "Bacterial small subunit ribosomal RNA", at positions 8 to 518 of the family's 1533-position model. The record is from RNAcentral.